Dipodomys ordii (Ord's kangaroo rat) is the source of this 70-nucleotide non-coding RNA. The record is from Rfam. Lineage: Eukaryota; Metazoa; Chordata; Mammalia; Rodentia; Heteromyidae.
GGGAAUGUAGCUCAGUGGUAGAGUGCUUGUCUAACAUGUAUGAAGCCUUGGGUUCAAUUCCUCAGUACCA